CGACUUAGCUCAGCAGGCAGAGCAACUGACUUGUAAUCAGUAGGUCACCAGUUCGAUUCCGGUAGUCG
Molecule: transfer RNA, 68 nt
Filed under: Escherichia coli
Lineage: Bacteria; Pseudomonadati; Pseudomonadota; Gammaproteobacteria; Enterobacterales; Enterobacteriaceae
Also listed under: 2 other names
Description: tRNA-Thr
Rfam family: tRNA
About the family: Transfer RNA (tRNA) molecules are approximately 80 nucleotides in length.
Source: RNAcentral